Molecule: ribosomal RNA, 586 nt
Filed under: uncultured bacterium
Lineage: Bacteria
Description: bacterial SSU rRNA
Rfam family: Bacterial small subunit ribosomal RNA
Source: RNAcentral
AGUCGAACGAGUUCUCGUUGAUGAUCGGUGCUUGCACCGAGAUUCAACACUCGGAACGAGUGGCGGACGGGUGAGUAACACGUGGGUAACCUGCCCUUAAGUGGGGGAUAACAUUUGGAAACAGAUGCUAAUACCGCAUAGAUCCAAGAACCGCAUGGUUCUUGGCUGAAAGAUGGCGUAAGCUAUCGCUUUUGGAUGGACCCGCGGCGUAUUAGCUAGUUGGUGAGGUAAUGGCUCACCAAGGCGAUGAUACGUAGCCGAACUGAGAGGUUGAUCGGCCACAUUGGGACUGAGACACGGCCCAAACUCCUACGGGAGGCAGCAGUAGGGAAUCUUCCACAAUGGACGCAAGUCUGAUGGAGCAACGCCGCGUGAGUGAAGAAGGCUUUCGGGUCGUAAAACUCUGUUGUUGGAGAAGAAUGGUCGGCAGGGUAACUGUUGUCGGCGUGACGGUAUCCAACCAGAAAGCCACGGCUAACUACGUGCCAGCAGCCGCGGUAAUACGUAGGUGGCAAGCGUUAUCCGGAUUUAUUGGGCGUAAAGCGAGCGCAGGCGGUUUUUUAAGUCUGAUGUGAAAGCCCUCGGC